CAAGCAAUUCUCCUGCCUUGGCCUCCCAAAGUACUGGGUUUACAGGUGUGAGCCACUGUGCCCAGCUCUCAUACCUCGUCUUGAUGCAGUAGAAGUAGUGGUUAAGCCUGGAAUCAGAUCUUGGUUUUCCCUCUCUGAGCCUCAGUUUCCUCAUCUGUAGAGUAGACUUCCUUCACGGGUGGUUGUGAGGAUUUAAUGUAUGUAUAGGGAUAAGGCCCAGAACGUAAGUAAACUCUAAGUACAUGGUAAGUGGCAGUCACUGCUUACAAGUGGAGCCAGGGUUCAGGGUCAGAGCUAGAGACCUACAGGGAAGAGUAGGUGAGCUGUCGGGGCUAGUGAUGGAGAGAGAGAAGAGACUGGAGAUCCAGCUUGGGGAUCCCCUUGCUUCCUGGCCCAGGAGCCACCAUGGAGAGUGAGAAGCUGCCAGAGAAGCAGGAGGAGGAUGGAGAGAAUGUGCUACCAUGGAAACUGGAGGAGGAGGGCGUUCCCAGGAGGAGGGAGUGAUGGAUAAUGUCAAGUGUCAUAAGAGAGGAUGCGAGUAGGGAGGGCAGGAGGGUGAUGGGAGCUCUCCAAUUUAGUUUUUUACAUGGCCCAGGCAGCCCCCAAGCCUGGAUCAAAUCCCAGCUCUCAAGCUAACUGGCUGUGUGACCUAGACAAGGGAUUUGCCUUCUCUGAGCUUCAGUUUCCUUCUAGAGUUGAGAUGUGGGAAUUGGUCCAUCUCUAAUACGAUCAUCAGCCUCACUUAAUAAGAGUCCUAGCUUUGCCGAAUUCUUGGCCACGUGCUAGCAGUGUGAUCUUAGGCAAGUCACUUCACCUCCACGAGAGCACUCUCUGAAAGCUAGAGAUAUGGUAAGCAAAGUGCCACCAAAGUGCCUGGCACAUAGUGGGGCCUCGAUACAGGCUUAUUCUCUGAUAAUUACACGUGUGCCAGAGGCAGCUGCUCUAAGGAGGCUUGCUGGGCUUGGAAUUAGAAAUGCUCCUCAAGGUGCUAGGAUUACAGGCAUGAGCCACCGUGCCCAGCCCAACCCAUGGUUCUUAAUGCUGCAGGUGGGUCCGGAGAAAGGCUUUUCUCUUUUAACCAUCUCCUUGAAUUUCAGAAGGUGGGACAACAUGUGCUGGAAAGCAGUUCUUAAGAGGACAUCUUUUCCCAAGCUCCUUAGCCUUAGCUGUCCUCUCCUGCCCUCACCAGGACUGCCCUCUCAGGGACCCAAGAGGAAGGGACAGCCUGGAAAGGAAGAAGGUCCCGGGCCAUCUGCGUCAUGGGGAUGGAGUCCCUUGGCGUGUGCCGGUGCAAAUACACUCCUGUAACGGGGCUCAUCUAGAAUCUCCUCUCGGAAUGAGGAGACCGCAAAUGUGGUUUUGAAUCUUCAUUGUCCACUUCAUUGCUGUGGUGUUGGGCAGGUCUCUGUCCCUCUCUGGGCCUCUGCACGAUGGAGGGGUAGGAGUUGAUGGUUCUGAAGGCUCUGCCAUCCUGGAAAAGAACUGAGACACUUCCCUCAUGUUCCUGGGUCCCAGAAACAGACAUCUGUUGGUAAAAUCUACUGGGCAUUUGCCCAGAGACAGGGAAAAGAAUGCCUGGGGGUCUGUAAUAGGAGCUGCCCCAAUUAGGGGCAGGGAGGCGGGCAUGUAAAAAAGGAAGCUUAAAGCUUUGUUUUCAGGCUUUUUGCCUACCCCAGGCUCCAUCUUGGUACCAAGUACUCAACCUUCUGUUUUCUCAAUAAAGUGAGCCCUCUUCUCGGUGUCUGCA
Molecule: long non-coding RNA, 1747 nt
Filed under: Homo sapiens (human)
Lineage: Eukaryota; Metazoa; Chordata; Mammalia; Primates; Hominidae
Description: non-protein coding lnc-OPRD1-1:3
Source: RNAcentral